UGGGGAAUAUUGCACAAUGGGCGCAAGCCUGAUGCAGCGACGCCGCGUGAGGGAUGACGGCCUUCGGGUUGUAAACCUCUGUUAGCAGGGAAGAAGAGAGAUUGACGGUACCUGCAGAGAAAGCGCCGGCUAACUACGUGCCAGCAGCCGCGGUAAUACGUAGGGCGCGAGCGUUGUCCGGAAUUAUUGGGCGUAAAGAGCUUGUAGGCGGUUUGUCGCGUCUGCUGUGAAAGGCCGGAGCUUAACUCCGUGUAUUGCAGUGGGUACGGGCAGACUAGAGUGCAGUAGGGGAGACUGGAAUUCCUGGUGUAGCGGUGGAAUGCGCAGAUAUCAGGAGGAACACCGAUGGCGAAGGCAGGUCUCUGGGCUGUAACUGACGCUGAGAAGCGAAAGCAUGGGGAGCGAACAGGAUUAGAUACCCUAGUAGUCCCUGAGCGGGCUGGCAAGGCGCAU
RNAcentral lists this ribosomal RNA (453 nucleotides) under uncultured bacterium. RNAcentral describes it as "bacterial SSU rRNA". It matches the Rfam family "Bacterial small subunit ribosomal RNA", at positions 355 to 825 of the family's 1533-position model. The record is from RNAcentral.